This 76-nucleotide transfer RNA is filed under the name Coriobacteriia bacterium. Its description in RNAcentral is "tRNA-Glu". It matches the Rfam family "tRNA". Rfam says of the family: Transfer RNA (tRNA) molecules are approximately 80 nucleotides in length. Their secondary structure includes four short double-helical elements and three loops (D, anti-codon, and T loops). The record is from RNAcentral. Lineage: Bacteria; Bacillati; Actinomycetota; Coriobacteriia.
GCCCCCAUCGUCUAGCGGCCAAGGACGCCGUCCUCUCAGGGCGGAGACGGAGAUUCGAAUUCUCCUGGGGGCACCA